Molecule: small RNA, 197 nt
Filed under: Gordonia paraffinivorans
Lineage: Bacteria; Bacillati; Actinomycetota; Actinomycetes; Mycobacteriales; Gordoniaceae
Description: c-di-AMP sequence
Rfam family: c-di-AMP riboswitch aptamer (ydaO/yuaA leader)
About the family: This family represents a conserved RNA structure found upstream of the ydaO and yuaA genes in Bacillus subtilis and related genes in other bacteria. The ydaO/yuaA element is thought to act as a genetic "off" switch for the ydaO and yuaA genes in its native state.
Source: RNAcentral
UAGGGACGACCGCAAGAAUCUAGGAGCGAGGACGGGGGACCCACCUCAUCCCCUGAGACCGGGCACCGACCAGGUGCCCUUGGGGUUAAGUCCCGGGCGCAGAACCGCGGUUAACACUCCGCGGCGACGCACCGGGGCCGAGCAGCCUCUCGCUCGAACCCGACAGCUGACUUCGUAGGCGCGUGGAGAGAGGAAAC